RNAcentral lists this ribosomal RNA (828 nucleotides) under uncultured Flavobacteriia bacterium. RNAcentral's name for it is "bacterial SSU rRNA". It matches the Rfam family "Bacterial small subunit ribosomal RNA", at positions 58 to 882 of the family's 1533-position model. Lineage: Bacteria; Pseudomonadati; Bacteroidota; Flavobacteriia. The record is from RNAcentral.
CAAGUCGAGGGGCAGCACGAUGUAGCAAUACAUUGGUGGCGACCGGCGGACGGGUGCGUAACACGUAUGCAACUUGCCCUAUACUAGGGAAUAGCCCGAAGAAAUUCGGAUUAAUACCCUAUAACAUCUGGAAAAGCAUUUUUUCAGGUUCAAAGCUGAGGCGGUAUAGGAUGGGCAUGCGGUCGAUUAGCUUGUUGGUGAGGUAACGGCUCACCAAGGCGACGAUCGAUAGGGGGCCUGAGAGGGUGAUCCCCCACACUGGUACUGAGACACGGACCAGACUCCUACGGGAGGCAGCAGUAAGGAAUAUUGGUCAAUGGGCGCAAGCCUGAACCAGCCACGCCGCGUGAAGGAAGACGGCCCUAUGGGUUGUAAACUUCUUUUCUACGGGAAUAAACCUCAGGACGUGUCCUGAGCUGAAGGUAUCGUAGGAAUAAGGAUCGGCUAACUCCGUGCCAGCAGCCGCGGUAAUACGGAGGAUCCAAGCGUUAUCCGGAUUUAUUGGGUUUAAAGGGUGCGUAGGUGGGAUAAUAAGUCAGAGGUGAAAGCUAGCAGCUUAACUGUUAAAUUGCCUUUGAUACUGUUAUUCUUGAGUGUAGUUGGCGUUGGCGGAAUGUGACAUGUAGCGGUGAAAUGCGUAGAUAUGUCACAGAACACCGAUCGCGAAGGCAGCUAACGAAGCUAUCACUGACACUGAUGCACGAAAGCGUGGGGAGCAAACAGGAUUAGAUACCCUGGUAGUCCACGCCGUAAACGAUGAUGACUCGACGUUGGCAAUAUACUGUUCAGCGUCCAAGUGAAAACGUUAAGUCAUCCACCUGGGGAGUA